GACGGAGGAUGCAAGCGUUAUCCGGAAUUACUGGGCGUAAAGCGUGCGCAGGCGGCGCGUUAAGACAGGUGUGAAAGCCCCGAGCUUAACUUGGGAAUUGCGCUUGUGACUGGCGUGCUGGAGUGUGGCAGAGGGAGGUGGAAUUCCACGUGUAGCAGUGAAAUGCGUAGAGAUGUGGAGGAACACCGAUGGCGAAGGCAGCCUCCUGGGCCAGCACUGACGCUCAUGCACGAAAGCGUGGGGAGCAAACAGG
Molecule: ribosomal RNA, 253 nt
Filed under: uncultured bacterium
Lineage: Bacteria
Description: partial 16S ribosomal RNA
Rfam family: Bacterial small subunit ribosomal RNA
Source: RNAcentral